GGGUCGGUGGCGUAGUGGCCGCGCAUCUGGCUUUUAACCAGACCAAGGACGAGUUCGAAUCUCUCCCGACCCACCA
This 76-nucleotide transfer RNA is filed under the name Rhodocyclaceae bacterium. Its description in RNAcentral is "tRNA-Lys". It matches the Rfam family "tRNA". From Rfam's summary of the family: Transfer RNA (tRNA) molecules are approximately 80 nucleotides in length. Their secondary structure includes four short double-helical elements and three loops (D, anti-codon, and T loops). Further hydrogen bonds mediate the characteristic L-shaped molecular structure. tRNAs have two regions of fundamental functional importance: the anti-codon, which is responsible for specific mRNA codon recognition, and the 3' end, to which the tRNAs corresponding amino acid is attached (by aminoacyl-tRNA synthetases). tRNAs cope with the degeneracy of the genetic code in two manners: having more than one tRNA (with a specific anti-codon) for a particular amino acid; and 'wobble' base-pairing, i.e. permitting non-standard base-pairing at the 3rd anti-codon position. Lineage: Bacteria; Pseudomonadati; Pseudomonadota; Betaproteobacteria; Rhodocyclales; Rhodocyclaceae. The record is from RNAcentral.